CAGCAGCCGCGGGAAUACAUAGGUGGCAAGCGUUGUCCGGAAUUAUUGGGCGUAAAGCGCGCGCAGGCGGAUCAGUCAGUCUGUCUUAAAAGUUCGGGGCUUAACCCCGUGAGGGGAUGGAAACUGCUGAUCUAGAGUAUCGGAGAGGAAAGUGGAAUUCCUAGUGUAGCGGUGAAAUGCGUAGAUAUUAGGAAGAACACCAGUGGCGAAGGCGACUUUCUGGACGAAAACUGACGCUGAGGCGCGAAAGCCAGGGGAGCGAACGGGAUUAGAUACCCCUGUAGUCCCUGUCUCUUAUACA
RNAcentral lists this ribosomal RNA (301 nucleotides) under uncultured bacterium. Its description in RNAcentral is "partial 16S ribosomal RNA". It matches the Rfam family "Bacterial small subunit ribosomal RNA", at positions 509 to 809 of the family's 1533-position model. The record is from RNAcentral.